GUGUGCUGCUGGUUGUUAAGCCCUGGGCUGCUGACACGGGCUGUGUGGCUGCUGGGGUGCUCUGCUGAGGCUGACCUGGCUGCCAGAGAAAGUGCUGGUGUGAGCACUGCAAUGGCCAAAGAGAUCACCUAAAGCUGAAGGCUGAGAGAAAAGACUGAGGGCUUCCUGCAGCCUAGCUGACUAUCCCAAAUCCUUUCUGAGCACAAGAAGCAGGACAGAUUUGCUUAACCUAAACCCACAAAGGCUCAGGCAGCACAGAAGAGGCCGGCCAUUGCAACUGUCAAAGACAAGACAACCACAGGCCUGCGUGUGUAUGCGAGUUAACAUCAUCAGCUUCUCUUCCAAAUUCUCCUGCAUGAAUGAAACAAAGCAUCUUGGGAAAAUACCUGUUGCCUCAUCAUAGAUUUCCUGGUUGAAUUUGCAAGUCACAUACUUCUGGAAGUUUUCUAGACUGGAGGGCAGGUCUGCUAUGAUGUGCUCCCAGGUCUGCAUUUGCUGACCUGAGCGCAGACACAGCCCCUGGAGCCCUCCUUGCUGCUCCUCCCUUUCUCACAGUGUGAGCACACAGCAUUUCAGAAGGGCUUUGCUGGCCUUCCCCACCAGGGAGCCAGCACAUGGCAGCGGCAUUUGUUCUGAAGGAUCCCAUGCCCUUCCACCCACAGCAGAUGUAGAUGUAGACUCAACAUCGGUCCUGUUUUUCCACAAUAAGGAUAAAGGCCCUUCCUGUGUGUGCCUUGGCCUGUAGGUUGUAGCUCCUCUGGGGAAGAGACUGUCCACCCCUGGGAAGUGAAGGAAACACCCAGCACAGUGGCGUGCCAUUUCACCCGGGGCCUCUAGAAGUGUCACUGGUCUUCACAGUGCACAGAGCGAGCUGUGGCUCUGCUGGGCUUGGGAGUGAAUGCACGGUAUCUUCAAGAUGCAGAUGAUGUAAUCACAGUGGUCUGAGACAUUUUUGCUACAUCUAUAUUCCACCAAAAUCCACAAUUAUGGUUGACUUUUCUGUGAUUGAAGAUAUUCCAGAAAGAUGGACUGCAAUGAUUCUAAACAGAAUCUCAUGAUGAUUCCUUCUGAUUUUUGAACACUUCAUGCAGUUUCGUUGUUAAAUGCGGAAAGAAACCCCAGAAAGAAGCCCAGAGAAACAUUUCUUGGCUAAUACAGGCUUCUUCAGAAGGACAAAGAAUUUUUAAAAAUCUAAUUUUUUUUCUUGCAAAAGAAAAACAGGUCAAAAAAUAUUCCUAGUAAGUUAUUAAAAAUAUUCACCAUUAAAUUUCUCAAACACA
Passer domesticus (house sparrow) is the source of this 1280-nucleotide long non-coding RNA. RefSeq lists it as uncharacterized. Lineage: Eukaryota; Metazoa; Chordata; Aves; Passeriformes; Passeridae. The transcript is spliced from 3 exons. The record is from RefSeq and is a predicted model, not a curated record.